AAUGAACGCUGGCGGCGUGCUUAACACAUGCAAGUCGAACGAGGCUGAGGGGGCAACUCCUCAGUUUAGUGGCGGACGGGUGAGUAACAACGUGGGUAACCUGCCCGGAAGUGGGGAAUACCUCGGGGAAACUCGAGCUAAUACCGCAUAACAUCUUCGGGACGAAAGUCCUGACGAUCAAAAGCGGGGUCGCAAGAUCUCGCGCUACCGGAUGGGCCCGCGCCCGAUUAGCUAGUUGGUGGGGUAACGGCCACCAA
Molecule: ribosomal RNA, 257 nt
Filed under: uncultured bacterium
Lineage: Bacteria
Description: partial 16S ribosomal RNA
Rfam family: Bacterial small subunit ribosomal RNA
Source: RNAcentral